Molecule: ribosomal RNA, 2900 nt
Filed under: Shigella dysenteriae
Lineage: Bacteria; Pseudomonadati; Pseudomonadota; Gammaproteobacteria; Enterobacterales; Enterobacteriaceae
Description: bacterial LSU rRNA
Rfam family: Bacterial large subunit ribosomal RNA
Source: RNAcentral
UUAAGCGACUAAGCGUACACGGUGGAUGCCCUGGCAGUCAGAGGCGAUGAAGGACGUGCUAAUCUGCGAUAAGCGUCGGUAAGGUGAUAUGAACCGUUAUAACCGGCGAUUUCCGAAUGGGGAAACCCAGUGUGAUUCGUCACACUAUCAUUAACUGAAUCCAUAGGUUAAUGAGGCGAACCGGGGGAACUGAAACAUCUAAGUACCCCGAGGAAAAGAAAUCAACCGAGAUUCCCCCAGUAGCGGCGAGCGAACGGGGAGCAGCCCAGAGCCUGAAUCAGUGUGUGUGUUAGUGGAAGCGUCUGGAAAGGCGUGCGAUACAGGGUGACAGCCCCGUACACAAAAAUGCACAUAUUGUGAGCUCGAUGAGUAGGGCGGGACACGUGGUAUCCUGUCUGAAUAUGGGGGGACCAUCCUCCAAGGCUAAAUACUCCUGACUGACCGAUAGUGAACCAGUACCGUGAGGGAAAGGCGAAAAGAACCCCGGCGAGGGGAGUGAAAAAGAACCUGAAACCGUGUACGUACAAGCAGUGGGAGCACGCUUAGGCGUGUGACUGCGUACCUUUUGUAUAAUGGGUCAGCGACUUAUAUUCUGUAGCAAGGUUAACCGAAUAGGGGAGCCGAAGGGAAACCGAGUCUUAACUGGGCGUUAAGUUGCAGGGUAUAGACCCGAAACCCGGUGAUCUAGCCAUGGGCAGGUUGAAGGUUGGGUAACACUAACUGGAGGACCGAACCGACUAAUGUUGAAAAAUUAGCGGAUGACUUGUGGCUGGGGGUGAAAGGCCAAUCAAACCGGGAGAUAGCUGGUUCUCCCCGAAAGCUAUUUAGGUAGCGCCUCGUGAAUUCAUCUCCGGGGGUAGAGCACUGUUUCGGCAAGGGGGUCAUCCCGACUUACCAACCCGAUGCAAACUGCGAAUACCGGAGAAUGUUAUCACGGGAGACACACGGCGGGUGCUAACGUCCGUCGUGAAGAGGGAAACAACCCAGACCGCCAGCUAAGGUCCCAAAGUCAUGGUUAAGUGGGAAACGAUGUGGGAAGGCCCAGACAGCCAGGAUGUUGGCUUAGAAGCAGCCAUCAUUUAAAGAAAGCGUAAUAGCUCACUGGUCGAGUCGGCCUGCGCGGAAGAUGUAACGGGGCUAAACCAUGCACCGAAGCUGCGGCAGCGACACUAUGUGUUGUUGGGUAGGGGAGCGUUCUGUAAGCCUGUGAAGGUGUACUGUGAGGUAUGCUGGAGGUAUCAGAAGUGCGAAUGCUGACAUAAGUAACGAUAAAGCGGGUGAAAAGCCCGCUCGCCGGAAGACCAAGGGUUCCUGUCCAACGUUAAUCGGGGCAGGGUGAGUCGACUCCUAAGGCGAGGCCGAAAGGCGUAGUCGAUGGGAAACAGGUUAAUAUUCCUGUACUUGGUGUUACUGCGAAGGGGGACGGAGAAGGCUAUGUUGGCCGGGCGACGGUUGUCCCGGUUUAAGCGUGUAGGCUGGUUUUCCAGGCAAAUCCGGAAAACUAAGGCUGAGGCGUGAUGACGAGGCACUACGGUGCUGAAGCAACAAAUGCCCUGCUUCCAGGAAAAGCCUCUAAGCAUCAGGUAACAUCAAAUCGUACCCCAAACCGACACAGGUGGUCAGGUAGAGAAUACCAAGGCGCUUGAGAGAACUCGGGUGAAGGAACUAGGCAAAAUGGUGCCGUAACUUCGGGAGAAGGCACGCUGAUAUGUAGGUGAAGUCCCUCGCGGAUGGAGCUGAAAUCAGUCGAAGAUACCAGCUGGCUGCAACUGUUUAUUAAAAACACAGCACUGUGCAAACACGAAAGUGGACGUAUACGGUGUGACGCCUGCCCGGUGCCGGAAGGUUAAUUGAUGGGGUCAGCGCAAGCGAAGCUCUUGAUCGAAGCCCCGGUAAACGGCGGCCGUAACUAUAACGGUCCUAAGGUAGCGAAAUUCCUUGUCGGGUAAGUUCCGACCUGCACGAAUGGCGUAAUGAUGGCCAGGCUGUCUCCACCCGAGACUCAGUGAAAUUGAACUCGCUGUGAAGAUGCAGUGUACCCGCGGCAAGACGGAAAGACCCCGUGAACCUUUACUAUAGCUUGACACUGAACAUUGAGCCUUGAUGUGUAGGAUAGGUGGGAGGCUUUGAAGUGUGGACGCCAGUCUGCAUGGAGCCGACCUUGAAAUACCACCCUUUAAUGUUUGAUGUUCUAACGUUGACCCGUAAUCCGGGUUGCGGACAGUGUCUGGUGGGUAGUUUGACUGGGGCGGUCUCCUCCUAAAGAGUAACGGAGGAGCACGAAGGUUGGCUAAUCCUGGUCGGACAUCAGGAGGUUAGUGCAAUGGCAUAAGCCAGCUUGACUGCGAGCGUGACGGCGCGAGCAGGUGCGAAAGCAGGUCAUAGUGAUCCGGUGGUUCUGAAUGGAAGGGCCAUCGCUCAACGGAUAAAAGGUACUCCGGGGAUAACAGGCUGAUACCGCCCAAGAGUUCAUAUCGACGGCGGUGUUUGGCACCUCGAUGUCGGCUCAUCACAUCCUGGGGCUGAAGUAGGUCCCAAGGGUAUGGCUGUUCGCCAUUUAAAGUGGUACGCGAGCUGGGUUUAGAACGUCGUGAGACAGUUCGGUCCCUAUCUGCCGUGGGCGCUGGAGAACUGAGGGGGGCUGCUCCUAGUACGAGAGGACCGGAGUGGACGCAUCACUGGUGUUCGGGUUGUCAUGCCAAUGGCACUGCCCGGUAGCUAAAUGCGGAAGAGAUAAGUGCUGAAAGCAUCUAAGCACGAAACUUGCCCCGAGAUGAGUUCUCCCUGACUCCUUGAGAGUCCUGAAGGAACGUUGAAGACGACGACGUUGAUAGGCCGGGUGUGUAAGCGCAGCGAUGCGUUGAGCUAACCGGUACUAAUGAACCGUGAGGCUUAACCUU